This 802-nucleotide long non-coding RNA is filed under the name Homo sapiens (human). RNAcentral's name for it is "small nucleolar RNA host gene 17, transcript variant 32 (SNHG17)". The record is from RNAcentral. Lineage: Eukaryota; Metazoa; Chordata; Mammalia; Primates; Hominidae.
AGUCCUUCGCCGUCCCUCGCCGUCCUUCGCCAUCGCACGCCACCGCACCCCAUCUCUCGAAAUCUGCAGACAUCUUGAUUUUUCCCACGCUGUCUGUCAGGUCUCCGCCGCCACUCGACGCCAGGGCGCCGGGCCUUGUGGGCUGUGCUGCACCUCGGACGGCUUCGCACCAGCCAGCGCCCUCUCUCUCCUGCAGCACUCUGAUCUGCACCCCCUGAGGGGCUUCCACUGUCCGCGGGGAGUGUCACAUGACUGCCGCCCCAUGUGUGUGAGAGGCGUCCUCUGGGAGAGCAUGGAUCCUGAGGUCCCAGGAUUGUCAGCUGACCUCUGUCCUGUGUGCCCAGUGGCCCCAGGUGACGUGUCUUCAAGAAGAGGCUGAGCUGCGGUGCUUGUAAGGUCUCAGCCUUAGAUCCAAGGACAGUCCAAGGAAGUCCUAAGACCAUGGAGUUGGUGAUCUGGGAUCUGGGUUUGCUGAUAUUUCUCACCGUGAAUCUCUUGGUGGUGUUUGUGGGCACGAGAGGGGCAGAGAAUGGAGAGUGAGGCUACCACAUGAAGCGUCACCAGAGCUGCUCCCUGCUGCCUGCUCAGAGCACCCCGGAUCCACUGUUCAAUCUGCACAAGAUUCGGGGUCCAGACAUGGGAGACUUCAGCUGCCUCAGAGGACCGUGGACAGGGAAGGCCAGCCUCGCAUCCCUCUGUCCAUGCCUGGAAUGACUUUAAUAACCAAGAGUUUUAUUUUUGAAUUUGUAGCUGUCGUUCACUUUUUACCCACCCAUUCAAUAAACCUUACAGAAUUGCUCCA